Molecule: long non-coding RNA, 401 nt
Organism: Oreochromis aureus
Lineage: Eukaryota; Metazoa; Chordata; Actinopteri; Cichliformes; Cichlidae
Exons: 3
Source: RefSeq, a predicted model, not a curated record
CAGUAGAGAAGGUGAUGGAGCCCAGUACUGGUGUGAAACCAAGCUGGAGCUGGGACCAGCUGGACCACAGCGCCCCCCAGUGGUGACAUCAGAAAAACUCCCUGCUAUAGUUCACUAUGGGCCUGAGCUAAAGGAGCCACCAAAUCCAGAUGUGAUCACAAUCACAGAAGGAGACACUCUACACCUGAACUGCUCCUCUGUGGGAAACCCCAGCCCCUCAUACACCUGGACACUUCCAACAAAUAGUCCUUCCUACAGUGGCAGCGUUCUCACUAUUAAAUCUGUCGGCUUUGAGCAUGAAGGACAGUAUAUCUGCACUGUGAGCAACACAGUAGGGACUGUCACCAAGGAGUUUAACAUUGAUGUACAAGUCAACUCCAUCCCAUAUAUAAUAGCUGGGA